Zingiber officinale is the source of this 2630-nucleotide RNA transcript. RefSeq lists it as uncharacterized. The transcript is spliced from 3 exons. The record is from RefSeq and is a predicted model, not a curated record. NCBI's taxonomy places the organism in Eukaryota, Viridiplantae, Streptophyta, Magnoliopsida, Zingiberales, Zingiberaceae.
AGCUAGGAAAAGGUUCAGACCUUUGUAUAAAAUUUUUGUACAGUGGAACCUCCAGGUUUUCCGAGUAGCAACCAACACCAGCUGACUCCCCAGCUUGGCAAACAUUUGACCAUAAGCACCCAGAAUUUGCAAAGGAUCCUAGAAAUAUAAGGCUUGGUUUAGCAUCAGAUGGAUUUAAUCCAUUCAAAAAUAUGAGUACAACAAAUAGUACGUGGUCGAUUAUUUUAAUGUCAUAUAAUCUUCCACCAUGGAUGUGUAUGAAGCAACCAUACUUUAUGUUGUCGCUAUUGAUACCUGGCCCAACUGCUCCAGGAAAUAAUAUAGACAUCUACUUGCAACCACUUAUUGCAGAUUUGAAAGACUUAUGGGAGAUAGGAGUUCAAACAUAUGAUGCAUCAACUAAACAAAAUUUUCAAUUACAUGCAACAUUACUAUGGACAAUAAGUGAUUUCCCUGGAUAUGCUAUCUUAUCAGGAUAGAGUACUAAAGGACAACUUGCAUGCCCAGUGUGUCACAAGUUUACACAUUCACAAUGGUUAAAAAAUGGUGGAAAAUAUUGUUAUAUGGGUCAUCGUAAGUUUUUAAAUAGUGAUUAUGCAUUUUGGAAAAAUACUCAAUUUUUUGAUGGCACAGAAGAAUAUGGAAAACCACCACCCAAACUAUCAGGAAGCAUGGUGAUAAAUGAGUUGAAAAAUUCUAAAUUUACAUUUAGGAAAACAAUUAAUGAUAAUUCAGCACUACCAUUCAAUUGGAAAAAAUUCAGUAUUUUCUUUGAUUUAUCAUAUUGGAAAGAUAAUGUGAUACGUCACAAUCUUGACUUUAUGCAUAUUGAAAAGAAUGUAUGUGAAUCUAUUUGUGGGACAUUGUUGAAUAUGAAAGGAAAAACGAAAGAUAAUCUUAAAGCACGACUUGAUUUACAAGAAAUAGGGAUAAGAUCAUCACUUCAUCCUAUUGAGAAAGGACAAAAGAAAGUUUAUUUACCUCUAGCAUCUUUUUCAAUGGGAAAAAAAGAGAAGGGUAUAUUUUGCAAGGUCUUAAAAAAAAUUAAAGUUCCAGAUGGCUAUGCAUCCAACAUAUCACGAUGUGUUCAAAUGAAACCGUCAAAAUUAGUUGGUCUAAAAAGUCAUGAUAAUCACAUUUUGAUGCAACAAUUGUUGCUAGUCGCACUACAAAAAACUUUAUCUAAAUCAAUUCGGAUUCCUUUGAUUAGAUUAAGCAGAUAUUUUCGAGAGUUAUGUUGUAAAGUAAUUUCUCCUACGGAUAUGGUUAGUCUGACGAGAGAUAUUGCAGUGAUCCUAUGUGAAUUGGAAAAAAAAUUUCCUCCCUCAUUUUUUGACAUAAUGGUUCAUCUAACUAUUCAUUUAGCUACUGAAGUACAACUUGCCGAGCCAGUUCACUACCGUUGGAUGUAUCCAAUUGAAAGGUACCUGGGGGCAUUGAAGUCUUAUGUUCGAAAUAGAAGUAGGCCGGAAGGAUCUAUUGCUGAAGGGUAUUUAGCUGAGGAAUGUUUGACCUUCUACUCUUUAUAUUUAGCAGAUUAUGUAGAGACAAGAUUUAAUCAAUCAUCAAGAAAUGAUGAUAUAAAUAUUGAAUCAACAUUCUCAAUAGAUAUCUUUAACAUCUCUGGUUAUGCACUUGGAAAAGCCAUUGCAACUAAGUUUGAAACUGAGAUAUUAAAGAAGGCACAUCAAUAUGUGUUAUUUAAUUGUCAUCAUGUACAAUCUUAUAUAGAGUAUGUUUUUAUAUAAAUCAUAGUGUUUAGAUAUAUAACUAUUUAAGUCAUCAUUAUAUACAAAAUUAAUAUUAUUAAUUUGCAGUGAACACCGAAGAAUUAUGAGUCUGAGUCAUUCUCGUCUUCCACUACACCAAAUUGAGCAUAUACAUAGUGAAACUUUUGCCUCAUGGUUUGCCAAUCAUAUUGAAGAUGCAAAUCUUGUAGAAGAUGAUCCAGUGUCAAAUGAUUUGAGAUCAAUCGCCAGAGGCCCUAAUGUCAUUGGGAUACGAUAUGAAAAAUUUAUUUCAAAUGGAUUUAGGUUCCAUACAAAGGAAGUGGAGUGUAAGAGAAAAACUCAAAAUUAUGGUGUAACUGUUAGAGCAACUACUUCAAGUUAUUCAAGUGUAAAAGAUCAUAAUCCAGUAUUAAGUGAACUUGAUUAUUAUGGAAUUUUGCAAAAUGUGAUUGAGUUAGAUUAUGGAGGAGGCCGAAAAGUUAUUUUAUUUGAAUGUAAGUGGGUCUCCAAAGGCAAACGAUUAAAAUUGGAUGAAGAUGGUUUUGUGUUGGCCAAUUUUAAAAAUGUUAGGCAUAAUAAUGAGCCUUAUAUUUUAGCAUCUCAGGUUAUGCAAGUAUUUUACGUGGAAGAUCCAAUUGAUUGUGAUUGGCAUGCUAUUAUCACCACUGAUGCACGAGCAAAGUAUAAAAUGCAGCCUAUGACAGAUGUCGAUACAUAUCUUCAAAGUUAUAUUUGUAAUUCUGAAGACUGCAGUGAACAUGAAGAAGUGGUUUGGGUUCGUGAUGAAUAUUACAGGAGUGGAAAUUGAUAAUGAUAUAAGUAAAUUUUAUCUAUUCUAUGCACUUAUGUUUAGUCAAUUAUCAUUUCAAUAAUAGUACAAUGAAUUUUUUAUUCUUUUUA